This 465-nucleotide ribosomal RNA is filed under the name uncultured bacterium. Its description in RNAcentral is "partial 16S ribosomal RNA". It matches the Rfam family "Bacterial small subunit ribosomal RNA", at positions 28 to 506 of the family's 1533-position model. The record is from RNAcentral.
GAUGAACGCUGGCGGCGUGCUUAACACAUGCAAGUCGAACGAUGAAGCCCAGCUUGCUGGGUGGAUUAGUGGCGAACGGGUGAGUAACACGUGAGUAACCUGCCCUUAACUCUGGGAUAAGCCUGGGAAACUGGGUCUAAUACCGGAUAGGAGCGUCCACCGCAUGGUGGGUGUUGGAAAGAUUUAUCGGUUUUGGAUGGACUCGCGGCCUAUCAGCUUGUUGGUGAGGUAAUGGCUCACCAAGGCGACGACGGGUAGCCGGCCUGAGAGGGUGACCGGCCACACUGGGACUGAGACGCGGCCCAGACUCCGACGGGAGGCAGCAGUGGGGAAUAUUGCACAAUGGGCGCAAGCCUGAUGCAGCGACGCCGCGUGAGGGAUGACGGCCUUCGGGUUGUAAACCUCUUUCAGUAGGGAAGAAGCGAAAGUGACGGUACCUGCAGAAGAAGCACCGGCUAACUACGU